This 253-nucleotide ribosomal RNA is filed under the name uncultured bacterium. RNAcentral describes it as "partial 16S ribosomal RNA". It matches the Rfam family "Bacterial small subunit ribosomal RNA", at positions 524 to 776 of the family's 1533-position model. The record is from RNAcentral.
UACGGGGGGGGCAAGCGUUGUUCGGAAUUACUGGGCGUAAAGGGCUCGUAGGCGGCCAACUAAGUCAGACGUGAAAUCCCCAGGCUUAACCGGGGAACUGCGUCCGAUACUGGUUGGCUUGAGUUUGGGAGAGGGAUGCGGAAUUCCAGGUGUAGCGGUGAAAUGCGUAGAUAUCAGGAGGAACACCGGUGGCGAAGGCGGGUCUCUGGGCCGAUACUGACGCUGAGGAGCGAAAGCGUGGGGAGCGAACAGG